UAAAAAAAAAAUGUUUUGUAAUGUCAUCAUCAUCAUCAUAAUUAUGUGACACCAUCACAUUAGUUGGUUAUUCGUUCGAAUAUGAAUAACACACCCGUGCUCACCUACACACACACACACACACACCUGGUAGCUGAAAUUAUUUUCUUCAUAUGAAAAAAAAAAUCUGGUUCCACCACCAUAAACAGUUGUGAAUUAUUUUAUUUUUGUUAAAAAAAAGGUCGUCGGUCACUCACACCAUAUGAAGAACAUACUCACAUAUCGAGUUGUUUCGACAGCUAAAUAAUAACUAGCCAAGCACAAAGGUUACAGCCAGUUAUAUACACUCAAUCAUCCGAUCAUAUCAAUUCAACAACAACAACAACAAAAAACAACGAUAAACAUAACAGAAUUUUUU
Molecule: non-coding RNA, 397 nt
Organism: Dermatophagoides farinae (American house dust mite)
Lineage: Eukaryota; Metazoa; Arthropoda; Arachnida; Sarcoptiformes; Pyroglyphidae
Source: RefSeq, a predicted model, not a curated record